GAACGCUGGCGGCGUGCUUAACACAUGCAAGUCGAACGGAAAGGCCCUGCUUUUGUGGGGUGCUCGAGGGGCGAACGGGUGAGUAACACGUGAGUAACCUGCCCUUGACUUUGGGAUAACUUCAGGAAACUGGGGCUAAUACCGGAUAGGAGCUCCUGCUGCAUGGUGGGGGUUGGAAAGUUUCGGCGGUUGGGGAUGGACUCGCGGCUUAUCAGCUUGUUGGUGGGGUAGUGGCUUACCAAGGCUUUGACGGGUAGCCGGCCUGAGAGGGUGACCGGCCACAUUGGGACUGAGAUACGGCCCAGACUCCUACGGGAGGCAGCAGUGGGGAAUAUUGCACAAUGGGCGGAAGCCUGAUGCAGCAACGCCGCGUGCGGGAUGACGGCCUUCGGGUUGUAAACCGCUUUCGCCUGUGACGAAGCGUGAGUGACGGUAAUGGGUAAAGAAGCACCGGCUAACUACGUGCCAGCAGCCGCGGUGAUACGUAGGGUGCGAGCGUUGUCCGGAUUUAUUGGGCGUAAAGGGCUCGUAGGUGGUUGAUCGCGUCGGAAGUGUAAUCUUGGGGCUUAACCCUGAGCGUGCUUUCGAUACGGGUUGACUUGAGGAAGGUAGGGGAGAAUGGAAUUCCUGGUGGAGCGGUGGAAUGCGCAGAUAUCAGGAGGAACACCAGUGGCGAAGGCGGUUCUCUGGGCCUUUCCUGACGCUGAGGAGCGAAAGCGUGGGGAGCGAACAGGCUUAGAUACCCUGGUAGUCCACGCUGUAAACGGUGGGUUACUAGGUGUGGGGUCCAUUCCACGGGUUCCGUGCCGUAGCUAACGCUUUUAAGUACCCCGCCUGGGGAGUACGGCCGCAAGGCUAAAACUCAAAGGAAUUGACGGGGCCCCGCACAAGCGGCGGAGCAUGCGGAUUAAUUCGAUGCAACGCGUAGAACCUUACCUGGGUUUGACAUGGAUCGGGAGUGCUCAGAGAUGGGUGUGCCUCUUUUGGGGUCGGUUCACAGGUGGUGCAUGGCUGUCGUCAGCUCGUGUCGUGAGAUGUUGGGUUAAGUCCCGCAACGAGCGCAACCCUUGUUCACUGUUGCCAGCACGUUAUGGUGGGGACUCAGUGGAGACCGCCGGGGUCAACUCGGAGGAAGGUGGGGAUGACGUCAAGUCAUCAUGCCCCUUAUGUCCAGGGCUUCACGCAUGCUACAAUGGCUGGUACAGAGAGUGGCGAGCCUGUGAGGGUGAGCGAAUCUCGGAAAGCCGGUCUCAGUUCGGAUUGGGGUCUGCAACUCGACCUCAUGAAGUCGGAGUCGCUAGUAAUCGCAGAUCAGCAACGCUGCGGUGAAUACGUUCCCGGGGCUUGUACACACCGCCCGUCAAGUCAUGAAAGUUGGUAACACCCGAAGCCGGUGGCCUAACCAAAGUGGGGGAGCCGUCGAAGGUGGGACUGGUGA
Molecule: ribosomal RNA, 1438 nt
Filed under: uncultured organism
Description: 16S ribosomal RNA
Rfam family: Bacterial small subunit ribosomal RNA
Source: RNAcentral